Long non-coding RNA from Passer domesticus (house sparrow), 2003 nucleotides. RefSeq lists it as uncharacterized. The record is from RefSeq and is a predicted model, not a curated record. The transcript has 6 exons. NCBI's taxonomy places the organism in Eukaryota, Metazoa, Chordata, Aves, Passeriformes, Passeridae.
UUUUUUUUUUAAGGACUGUGGUUUUGAUUUGUGGCUACCUUUAUAAAAUUGAGCCUCUGAAUUACACUUCACUAAACAGACAUCAUUUGCGGCUUAACUCUGAGUGUGCUGAAGCUUGAAAUGUAGCUUCCGAUUUAUAAUAGCGACAGGACAUGCAGCAAAUGUCAACAAAUCCCCUGUCACCCAGGCAAGGAGGAAAUGUGAGAGGAAAAACUCCAACUGUGUCUGGAAAACUAAAGAUAAAUCUGUUACGUAGAAGACCAUCCAACAGAGUAACAGAAUUCUGAAUUUGAUAGGGCACUUGGAUAGGGAUGAGAAGAGCAGGAAGUUGAGAAGAAGGAAACAAGAAAGGAAUGCAAGAAUGAAGAGAAAUGGAAGCAGAAGAACAGUGUAAUCAAUGUAAGGUUAAGCAGAGAAGAAAAUGAGCCUAAUACAUAUCAGAGAAUGGUGACUGAGUUACUUUGAGAGGAAUUUCAUUGCACUGAAAGAGAAGAUAACAGAACAUAGUGAAGCUCUAAGAGACUUAUUUUAGACCUGAAAGGUCAUAUUUCAGCUGCCAAGAACUUUUUCUCAGUUACUCUGAGCUGUACAAUAUACUGUUCUAUUUCUUGGAGACAAACCAAAGGAUCCCAAAUUAUCAGCAGCCACCUGAUCUGCAGUGCUGGAGACAUGAGAAAUUCAUUAAGAAUUUCAUAAGGUGCCAGUCUCACCAUGUGGCUCUCAAAGACAUGAAUGACUGCAGUGUGGGCAGUGGAAUGAAGAGGAGUAAAAUGGAAAUUUCCAAGUGUCCUAAGGAAGGUGGGAAAGCUGCAAGUGAGCCACAACUGAUGCAAGAUGAAGCUCCAUUUGGAGAGGAAGAAUAUGCUCACAUCAGGGCACUGCUUACUGACAGAUUCAACAUGCAGACUGCAUUUCUGCUGGAUUUGAUAAAAACACAAUUAAAAUUUCGUACAAGGGGGUACGCCAAAUUGGCCUGCAUCCUAGAACCCACUCCAAGCAAAACCUUGGGGAAUAUAUUGUACAAGAAAAGGUCUGUCCCCUGGGAUUACCUCCCACUUCCUUUAACCUGAUAUUUUGCUCAUCCUAUUAUGAGAUUCCUCAGAGGGGUGAAACACUAGAUUGCCUCAUUAAGACUCAUCAUUUACAAGAUGUUGACAAACGCUGGCAUUUAUCCUGUUGUCAUAACAAAUGUGAGAAAAUGACCACUUGGCAAUAAGUGAUUCUAUGCAAUUGCAGGUUGUAAAAUACAAGAAUAUGGGGGUGGGGGGGUGGUCUGUGGAUAAUGUAUUAGUAUCACUAUGUAGCAUCUCUGAACGGUUUCUCAAGGCAUUGUAACAAAUCCAGGCUGAAAUAAAUAAUAAUGGAGAGCUUCUUUUUAUAGCAUUUUCCACAUGUGCAGCCCAAACAUUAAUUAAGAACAGUGAGAGAAUAGUUUUAAACACAACAUAAUAAUGAAACAGUUAUUAUUAUCUUACUGGAUAUCUCAUCACGAAUACCCAGCAUCCAUACUGUCCUUGCUGACAGCUUGAAAACUCUCUGAACUCAGUUUGCCUACAGCUCUCAUCUGCCCUGAGGCUGAGGACAGCAUGGCCUUUCUUAACGAGGGUCAUCUCACCCCCUUGAUGUUAAUGGUAUGUAAGGCCAUCACAGGAGGAGUUCCCACAACAGAGGUUGCUGAGACAGGUUUGGGUGUGAGAGAACUGUUCUGAGUCUAUGCACAAGUGUUUCGAGAAGUGAGUUUUCUUCCUUUGGAAGCACCAACAGUGCAGUCACAAGGUAGUCCUGCAGGCAAAAGUAUAUCUUGGAGACAGAAUCAUCAUCCAUGAAAGCAGACAAAGAUAAAUGUGAAGACAUAAAUGCCUAAAACUGGAUGCAGUCCUUCUCCUUAAAGCUACUUUUAGGAGCUCUCUGUUUAGCUGAAGGACCUUGAAUCCUGUGAGUACUUCGGUCUUCUCAGGUGUCCAGGUUCUGCUUCUGAAUAUGCGUCUCAAUUUUGACCAUUU